GACGAAGGGGGCUAGCGUUGUUCGGAAUUACUGGGCGUAAAGCGUGUGUAGGUGGUUGCCAUAGUCAGGUGUGAAAGCCUUGAGCUCAACUCAAGAAAUGCACUUGAUACUGGGCAGCUAGAGGACCGGAGAGGAUAGUGGAAUUCCCAGUGUAGUGGUGAAAUACGUAGAGAUUGGGAAGAACACCAGUGGCGAAGGCGGCUAUCUGGACGGAUACUGACGCUGAGACGCGAAAGCGUGGGUAGCAAACAGG
Molecule: ribosomal RNA, 253 nt
Filed under: uncultured bacterium
Lineage: Bacteria
Description: partial 16S ribosomal RNA
Rfam family: Bacterial small subunit ribosomal RNA
Source: RNAcentral